CUCCGCUCUCCCCUGAAAAUGACGAGGAACUGAGUACAGUGGACAAUGGCUUCUGUGUCCCCAGCUCCCCCCGAGCCGUGGGCUGCUACAUCAAAGGUCUGCAGGGGGCUGCCCUUCCCAUAAUAUUUCAAUUUAAGCACCGACUUGCUGCUGCGGAGUCACAUCUCAUUCACGCUGCGGCCUUUGCAGGAGUCAGGGAUCAUUAUGGAGCAAGCACUGAGGGAAAACAGAUUACAGCCUGGCCCCCAGCAGCCAGGUUGCACCCCAGAUGCUUCAGGGACAUGGUGCCUGCUCUGGAGAAUGGGGCAGCUUCCACAGUGCGCAGGAGCCAGGGCUUCUGACCCAGGAGUGAAAGUCUGUCUCUUCCAUUUCUGGGAGCUGGAAGUAUUUGCAGGACUUUCUGGGCCUCAGGUAUCCCAUUGUCCACCAGGAAUUACCUUCCUCCAGAUCAUGGUGAAGAUGAUGUGAGAUGCUAAUGCUUAGCCUAUGGUUGCUAUUUUUAGUUCUCCACAUUCCUGGAAAGCAUGCAGUUGAAGUUCAUGACGGUAUUCUUUCAACGUGUGACUCAAAGACAGAGGCCGUUUCCCACCCAUCGGUUCUCACACUGCCCCAUUCUGCAGCUUCACCAUCCAUGCGCUAAGAAGGCAGGCCCCACAG
Long non-coding RNA from Nomascus leucogenys (northern white-cheeked gibbon), 657 nucleotides. RefSeq lists it as uncharacterized. NCBI's taxonomy places the organism in Eukaryota, Metazoa, Chordata, Mammalia, Primates, Hylobatidae. The record is from RefSeq and is a predicted model, not a curated record. The transcript has 3 exons.